CGUGCCGAGAAAAGCCGCUAUUGCCCGCGCCGCACCCGUACCGUAAACCGACACAGGUGGAUGGGAGAGGAUCCCAAGGCCGGCGGAGAAGCAUUGUCAAGGAACUCGGCAAAAUGGCCCCGUAACUUCGGGAGAAGGGGCGCCAUGCAGGCAUGGCCGCAGAGAAGAGGCCCAAGCAACUGUUUAGCAAAAACACAGGUCUAUGCGAAGCCGCAAGGCGAGGUAUAUGGGCUGACGCCUGCCCGGUGCUGGAAGGUUAAGGGGAGGGGUCAGCGUAAAGCGAAGCCCUGAGCUGAAGCCCCAGUAAACGGCGGCCGUAACUAUAACGGUCCUAAGGUAGCGAAAUUCCUUGUCGGGUAAGUUCCGACCCGCACGAAAGGCGCAAUGAUUUGGGCGCUGUCUCGACAAUGCACCCGGUGAAAUUGAAGUGCCAGUGAAGAUGCUGGCUACCCGCGCCAGGACGGAAAGACCCCAUGGAGCUUCACUCCAGCUUGGCGCUGGGGCCCGGUGCUGCAUGUACAGGAUAGGUGGGAGGCAGAGAAGGCAGGGCGCCAGCCGUGCCGGAGCCGCCGUUGGGAUACCACCCCUGCAGCACUGGGCUUCUAACCGGCCGCCGUGAACCGGCGGCGGGACACCGCCUGGCGGGAGUUUGACUGGGGCGGUCGCCUCCGAAAGGGUAUCGGAGGCGCCCAAGGGUCCCUCAGGAUGGACGGGAACCAUCCAAAGAGGGCAAAGCCAGAAGGGGCUUGACUGCGACACCGACGGGUGGGGCAGGUACGAAAGUAGGGCUUAGUGAUCCGGUGGCAUGAAGUGGGACUGCCAUCGCUCAACGGAUAAAAGCUACCCUGGGGAUAACAGGCUUAUCACUCCCAAGAGUUCACAUCGACGGAGUGGUUUGGCACCUCGAUGUCGGCUCAUCGCAUCCUGGGGCUGCAGCAGGUCCCAAGGGUUGGGCUGUUCGCCCAUUAAAGCGGUACGCGAGCUGGGUUCAGAACGUCGUGAGACAGUUCGGUCCCUAUCCGGCGCGGGCGCAGGAGAUCUGCGGGGCUGUCCCCAGUACGAGAGGACCGGGAUGGACGGGCCACUGGUGCACCUGUUGGCAUGCCAAUGCCACGGCAGGGUAGCCAAGCCCGGACGGGAUAAGCGCUGAAGGCAUCUAAGCGCGAAGCCCCCCCAAGAUGGGAUCUCCCAUCCUUUAAGGAGUAAGACCCCUUGGAGACGACGAGGUAGGUAGGGCAGGGGUGGAAGUGCAGCAAUGCACGGAGCUGACUGCAGCUAAUCGGUCGAGGGCUUGACCAG
This 1299-nucleotide ribosomal RNA is filed under the name gut metagenome. RNAcentral's name for it is "bacterial LSU rRNA". It matches the Rfam family "Bacterial large subunit ribosomal RNA", at positions 1604 to 2925 of the family's 2925-position model. The record is from RNAcentral.